UUUAAGAAUGGAGAGGUGCAGCUACUAAUACCUGAAUCAAAAGCUGUGGAAACGAGAAUUUUUAUGUUACAGAGCAGCACGCAGAAAGCGGAGGAGGAGAUUACUGCUGACGUAGAAGAUGCAGUAGUGCCCUUGGUAUGGGCUAGUGGAAUUCCAGGUCAGUCUAAAUUGGUGAAACCAGUGGAGGUGGUUCUAAAAUCUGGGACUAAACCGCAUUGUGGUGUUUGUGGUGGUGAUCUGCAGGGAUGAGCUCCUCUUGCUGGCUGGAGUAUGGCUGCACUGACAAGGAGUUGGUSCCCACCUGAGGCUGGAGCAGGACUGCAGGUGUGCCAGGGUAAUUCUGCUUCUAUCUGGGUAACUUUU
RNAcentral lists this long non-coding RNA (363 nucleotides) under Apteryx rowi (Okarito brown kiwi). Its description in RNAcentral is "lncRNA (ENSARWG00000012247.1)". The record is from RNAcentral. Lineage: Eukaryota; Metazoa; Chordata; Aves; Apterygiformes; Apterygidae.